This 243-nucleotide long non-coding RNA is filed under the name Elaeis guineensis (African oil palm). RNAcentral's name for it is "long non-coding RNA (EGUI_LNC023878)". The record is from RNAcentral. Lineage: Eukaryota; Viridiplantae; Streptophyta; Magnoliopsida; Arecales; Arecaceae.
UCAUGGAUGCACAUGGAUUUAGCCUGCAGAAACGAUACAAACAAAAAGUACUAAUUCAGUUUCAAUUGCGUUUGUAAUUUAGUUGCUCAAAGUAUUACAAUGAUAAAAUGUAUUUCUUCUCCCUUCUUUUAGUGUAUUGAACUCAAUUCACUUUGAAAAAAGACUACUUGGUUUUUCACAAAACCUGAAAUUAAACAGUAACAACAUUUUUGUGAAACUUAUUGUUGGGUGGAUGUCUGGCCA